This 1148-nucleotide ribosomal RNA is filed under the name Burkholderia ubonensis. RNAcentral describes it as "bacterial LSU rRNA". It matches the Rfam family "Bacterial large subunit ribosomal RNA", at positions 1 to 1187 of the family's 2925-position model. The record is from RNAcentral. Lineage: Bacteria; Pseudomonadati; Pseudomonadota; Betaproteobacteria; Burkholderiales; Burkholderiaceae.
GUUAUAGGGUCAAGCGAACAAGUGCAUGUGGUGGAUGCCUUGGCGAUCACAGGCGAUGAAGGACGCGGUAGCCUGCGAAAAGCUACGGGGAGCUGGCAAACAAGCUUUGAUCCGUAGAUGUCCGAAUGGGGAAACCCACUCCGUAUGGAGUAUCCAUGGCUGAAUACAUAGGCCAUGCGAAGCGAACGCGGUGAACUGAAACAUCUAAGUAACCGCAGGAAAAGAAAUCAACCGAGAUUCCCAAAGUAGUGGCGAGCGAAAUGGGAUGAGCCUUGCACUCUUUAUUUGUAUUGUUAGCCGAACGCUCUGGAAAGUGCGGCCAUAGCAGGUGAUAGCCCUGUAGGCGAAAACAGUAUGAAAGAACUAGGUGUGCGACAAGUAGGGCGGGACACGUGAAAUCCUGUCUGAAGAUGGGGGGACCAUCCUCCAAGGCUAAAUACUCGUGAUCGACCGAUAGUGAACCAGUACCGUGAGGGAAAGGCGAAAAGAACCCCGGGAGGGGAGUGAAAUAGAUCCUGAAACCGCAUGCAUACAAACAGUCGGAGCCUCGUAAGGGGUGACGGCGUACCUUUUGUAUAAUGGGUCAGCGACUUACGUUCAGUAGCAAGCUUAACCGUAUAGGGCAGGCGUAGCGAAAGCGAGUCCGAAUAGGGCGUUCAGUUGCUGGGCGUAGACCCGAAACCAGGUGAUCUAUCCAUGGCCAGGAUGAAGGUGCGGUAACACGUACUGGAGGUCCGAACCCACUAACGUUGAAAAGUUAGGGGAUGAGCUGUGGAUAGGGGUGAAAGGCUAAACAAACCUGGAAAUAGCUGGUUCUCUCCGAAAACUAUUUAGGUAGUGCCUCGUGUCUCACCUUCGGGGGUAGAGCACUGUCAUGGUUGGGGGGUCUAUUGCAGAUUACCCCGCCAUAGCAAACUCCGAAUACCGAAGAGUGCAAUCACGGGAGACAGACAUCGGGUGCUAACGUCCGGUGUCAAGAGGGAAACAACCCAGACCGCCAGCUAAGGUCCCCAAAUAUAGCUAAGUGGGAAACGAAGUGGGAAGGCUAAAACAGUCAGGAGGUUGGCUUAGAAGCAGCCACCCUUUAAAGAAAGCGUAAUAGCUCACUGAUCGAGUCGUCCUGCGCGGAAGAUGUAACGGGGCUAAGC